CGUAUAUACUUCCAAACAAUAACUUAGGUUUUGUACUACAUGGUAAAUGAAAUGAAAUUUUUAAUAUGCUAGAGCGCACAAUGGUAAUUGCUAGUUUCAUUAGUAUUUCUCGGCAAACCCUCGUUCUUUCUUGGUCUGCUAAAAAUAAUUGUUAUCAGUUUUUCUUUACAUUGUCUAUAGAGAAAGUGAUGUUUUUAAGAGAUAUUUCUGUAACAUGAGCAAUGGUGCUUACUUCUUAUAUCCCACAUAUUGUUGAAUUAUGUGCUUAUGAGGCAAAACGGUCAUGGCGGUCCUGCACAAGUGGAUGAAUGACUGGAAGGGGCGGCACCACGAUGGUUAAGAUGGUUUAUACCCAGCCUGGGAGGACGACCCCCUACAAUGGGCACGGAAAGAUGUUGCAGUAGCGAACGAGGAGGCAGAGAUGCGCAAAGCAGAGUAGGAAAAACAUGCUCUGGUCCUCCUCCAAGCCCGCCGGCGACUCCCUAACAUGAUUUAACCAGUCACGAGGACUAGGAUGUUGAGGAAGAUGGUGAAUGGGCAGCUCCAACCAUAUGCAAAAGGAACAAUUUCAAAUCCUAAGUGCAAGGACCAUGUACGCAAAAGGCAAUGAUUGAGGAUUCACGGAUAUAUUGAGAUCAACUUUUCGAUGCAAUUUGGAUGAUCAAAU
Long non-coding RNA from Triticum dicoccoides, 667 nucleotides. RefSeq lists it as uncharacterized. The transcript is spliced from 3 exons. NCBI's taxonomy places the organism in Eukaryota, Viridiplantae, Streptophyta, Magnoliopsida, Poales, Poaceae. The record is from RefSeq and is a predicted model, not a curated record.